GACGAACGCUGGCGGCGUGCUUAACACAUGCAAGUCGAACGGAAAGGCCCUGCUUGCAGGGUACUCGAGUGGCGAACGGGUGAGUAACACGCGGGUGAUCUGCCCUGCACUUCGGGAUAAGCCUGGGAAACUGGGUCUAAUACCGGAUAGGAGCCAUUUUUAGUGUGAUGGUUGGAAAGUUUUUUCGGUGUAGGAUGAGCUCGCGGCUUAUCAGCUUGUUGGUGGGGUAAUGGCCUACCAAGGCGGCGUCGGGUAGCCGGCCUGAGAGGGUGGACGGCCACAUUGGGACUGAGAUACGGCACAGACUCGUACGGGAGGGAGAAGUGGGGAAUAUUGAACAAUGGGCGCAAGCCUGAUGCAGCGACGCCGCGUGGGGGAUGACGGCCUUCGGGUUGUAAAAUCCUUUCGCUAGGGACGAAGCUUUUUGUGACGGUACCUAGAUAAGAAGCACCGGCUAACUACGUG
RNAcentral lists this ribosomal RNA (465 nucleotides) under uncultured bacterium. Its description in RNAcentral is "partial 16S ribosomal RNA". It matches the Rfam family "Bacterial small subunit ribosomal RNA", at positions 28 to 507 of the family's 1533-position model. The record is from RNAcentral.